AUCGAUAACGAACGAGACCUUUACCUGCUAAAUAGUCGACUCGGCCUAGGCCGGGACCUUUUUGGUUACGACUUCUUAGAGGGACUGGAGGCUCCAAGCCUCAGGAAGCUGGGGGCAAUAACAGGUCUGUGAUGCCCUUAGAUGUUCUGGGCCGCACGCGCGCUACACUGAUAAAGUCAGCGAGUUUUAUUCUUUGAAUAGUCCUUGGCCGGAAGGCCUGGGCAAUCUUGUUAAACUUUAUCGUGCUGGGGAUAGAGCAUUGCAAUUAUUGCUCUUCAACGAGGAAUUCCUAGUAGUCGUAAUUCAUCAGAUUGCGACGAUUACGUCCCUGCCCUUUGUACACACCGCCCGUCGCUAGUACCGAUUGAAUGGAUU
RNAcentral lists this ribosomal RNA (375 nucleotides) under Eukaryota sp. RNAcentral describes it as "SSU rRNA". It matches the Rfam family "Eukaryotic small subunit ribosomal RNA", at positions 1324 to 1699 of the family's 1831-position model. The record is from RNAcentral.